ACGACAUUUACGUAUAAAUAAUAUGAAUUUUAUUUAAUGAAAGUUAGUUCAGUGCGAUGUACUUUAACUGUCAAAGUUCAAAGCAUUCGUUUAAAUAUAAUACCUCAAAAUAUCGCAGGUUGAUAAACAUGGAGACUGCGUGCACAAAGAUAGUUGGCAUUGGAAUUUUAAGAUUGGCAACCUGGAUUGCGUGAUACGAUACUGCGGCGGCAGAGCGAUACUCUUACAGUUACCAUAGUAAAUAUGUACAUGCAUGUACAUAUGUACAUAUGCUUAUCAGUUUGCCCGGGCAAUUGUCAUGUAAAUUAAUCAGUCGGCCACAAACGUAAAGACACACAAACAACACUGCGGAGUGAAGUGGAGUGCAUUGCCUUGGCCAGCGAUGCGCCGAGGGAGUUGGAGCUCGAUUACAUAAGGAGGAUGCUCUGCGAGUGGCGUACAGCGAUCCCUCAAUGGACUCUGCACACGCUGCUUUGCGUAUUAUCGGUGGGUGGCAUGGAGUGUAGUGCCAGCUCAUAUCUUAUCACGCAAUGGAGUCGCCCAUAAAAGGGGGAGGAAGAGGAGGCGAGAGGGCCCUGAUUAGAUAGUGGCCGAAAUGCAAUAAGACCUUGUGAUUCAUCGAGCGAGCUACAUGCAUGUGCGAUGUGUAAAUGGGAAAUGCUGGAAAUGCCAGGCAGUAAUUAAAGAGCCCACACUUUCCUAGCUUGCUUCCAUAAUUGACCUUCAAACGUGACUUUGCCUAUGUCUGAUGAACCGAAUCCGUAGCCUACCUCCUUCCAAUCCGCAUUAUAGUUUCUCAACAGUAGCGGAUAUCUAUAGCCGGCUAACCCGGCAAUCACUUAAGUAGCUCAACACACCCACAUGGUUCCGUCCCCGAAUCCGACCCUUCUAUGUGGAAUGUGUAGUAUGACCAUAUCCGUAGCCCCGCUUCACAUUGUUUUGAUUUUAUCGUCUGGCUUGUAACUGAGCUGGGUAUCCAAUGAAAAAGCAAUUGUAAUUUCAUUACCAUUUAAUUGGUAAAAUUGGCAUUGGGAAAAUGGCAAUCGGUCGAUUGAAGAUUAGAAGCAAACUAAUUCUGAAAGGGAAAUUCAUUUUGUAGUG
Non-coding RNA from Drosophila melanogaster (fruit fly), 1101 nucleotides. The record is from Ensembl. NCBI's taxonomy places the organism in Eukaryota, Metazoa, Arthropoda, Insecta, Diptera, Drosophilidae.